AGUGAACGCUGGCGGCGUGCCUAAUACAUGCAAGUCGAACGGAAUUUAAAAGAGCUUGCUCUUUUGAAUUUAGUGGCGCACGGGUGAGUAAUAUAUAGCUAAUCUGCCCCUUGCUGGAGGACAACAGUUAGAAAUGACUGCUAAUACUCCAUACUCCUUUUUACCAUAAGAUAAAUCGGGAAAGAAUUUCGGCAAGGGAUGAGACUAUAUCGUAUCAGCUAGUCGGUGGGGUAACGGCCUACCGAGGCUAUGACGCGUAACUGGUCUGAGAGGAUGAUCAGUCACAUUGGAACUGAGACACGGUCCAAACUCCUACGGGAGGCAGCUGUAGGGAAUAUUGCGCAAUGGGGGAAACCCUGACGCAGCAACGCCGCGUGGAGGAUGACACUUUUCGGAGCGUAAACUCCUUUUGUUAGGGAAGAAUAAUGACGGUACCUAACGAAUAAGCACCGGCUAA
This 457-nucleotide ribosomal RNA is filed under the name Campylobacter gracilis. RNAcentral describes it as "bacterial SSU rRNA". It matches the Rfam family "Bacterial small subunit ribosomal RNA", at positions 29 to 500 of the family's 1533-position model. The record is from RNAcentral. Lineage: Bacteria; Pseudomonadati; Campylobacterota; Epsilonproteobacteria; Campylobacterales; Campylobacteraceae.